Molecule: ribosomal RNA, 1369 nt
Filed under: uncultured bacterium
Lineage: Bacteria
Description: bacterial SSU rRNA
Rfam family: Bacterial small subunit ribosomal RNA
Source: RNAcentral
GACGAACGCUGGCGGCGUGCCUAAUACACGCAAGUAGAACGCUGAAGAGAGGAGCUUGCUCUUCUUGGAUGAGUUGCGAACGGGUGAGUAACGCGUAGGUAACCUGCCUUGUAGCGGGGGAUAACUAUUGGAAACGAUAGCUAAUACCGCAUAACAAUGGAUGACACAUGUCAUUUAUUUGAAAGGGGCAAUUGCUCCACUACAAGAUGGACCUGCGUUGUAUUAGCUAGUAGGUGAGGUAACGGCUCACCUAGGCGACGAUACAUAGCCGACCUGAGAGGGUGAUCGGCCACACUGGGACUGAGACACGGCCCAGACUCCUACGGGAGGCAGCAGUAGGGAAUCUUCGGCAAUGGGGGCAACCCUGACCGAGCAACGCCGCGUGAGUGAAGAAGGUUUUCGGAUCGUAAAGCUCUGUUGUAAGUCAAGAACGAGUGUGAGAGUGGAAAAUUCACACUGUGACGGUAGCUUACCAGAAAGGGACGGCUAACUACGUGCCAGCAGCCGCGGUAAUACGUAGGUCCCGAGCGUUGUCCGGAUUUAUUGGGCGUAAAGCGAGCGCAGGCGGUUUGAUAAGUCUGAAGUUAAAGGCUGUGGCUCAACCAUAGUUCGCUUUGGAAACUGUCAAACUUGAGUGCAGAAGGGGAGAGUGGAAUUCCAUGUGUAGCGGUGAAAUGCGUAGAUAUAUGGAGGAACACCGGUGGCGAAAGCGGCUCUCUGGUCUGUAACUGACGCUGAGGCUCGAAAGCGUGGGGAGCGAACAGGAUUAGAUACCCUGGUAGUCCACGCCGUAAACGAUGAGUGCUAGGUGUUGGAUCCUUUCCGGGAUUCAGUGCCGCAGCUAGCGCAUUAAGCACUCCGCCUGGGGAGUACGACCGCAAGGUCGAAACUCAAAGGAAUUGACGGGGGCCCGCACAAGCGGUGGAGCAUGUGGUUUAAUUCGAAGCAACGCGAAGAACCUUACCAGGUCUUGACAUCCCGAUGCUAUUUCUAGAGAUAGAAAGUUACUUCGGUACAUCGGUGACAGGUGGUGCAUGGUUGUCGUCAGCUCGUGUCGUGAGAUGUUGGGUUAAGUCCCGCAACGAGCGCAACCCCUAUUGUUAGUUGCCAUCAUUCAGUUGGGCACUCUAGCGAGACUGCCGGUAAUAAACCGGAGGAAGGUGGGGAUGACGUCAAAUCAUCAUGCCCCUUAUGACCUGGGCUACACACGUGCUACAAUGGUUGGUACAACGAGUUGCGAGUCGGUGACGGCAAGCUAAUCUCUUAAAGCCAAUCUCAGUUCGGAUUGUAGGCUGCAACUCGCCUACAUGAAGUCGGAAUCGCUAGUAAUCGCGGAUCAGCACGCCGCGGUGAAUACGUUCCCGGGCCU